This 497-nucleotide ribosomal RNA is filed under the name uncultured bacterium. Its description in RNAcentral is "partial 16S ribosomal RNA". It matches the Rfam family "Bacterial small subunit ribosomal RNA", at positions 28 to 507 of the family's 1533-position model. The record is from RNAcentral.
GAUGAACGCUGGCGGCGUGCCUAAUACAUGCAAGUCGAGCGAACAGAUGAGGAGCUUGCUCCUCUGACGUUAGCGGCGGACGGGUGAGUAACACGUGGAUAACCUACCUAUAAGACUGGGAUAACUACGGGAAACCGGAGCUAAUACCGGAUAAUAUAUUGAACCGCAUGGUUCAAUAGUGAAAGACGGUUUUGCUGUCACUUAUAGAUGGAUCCGCGCCGCAUUAGCUAGUUGGUAAGGUAACGGCUUACCAAGGCAACGAUGCGUAGCCGACCUGAGAGGGUGAUCGGCCACACUGGAACUGAGACACGGUCCAGACUCCUACGGGAGGCAGCAGUAGGGAAUCUUCCGCAAUGGGCGAAAGCCUGACGGAGCAACGCCGCGUGAGUGGUGAAGGUCUUCGGAUCGUAAAACUCUGUUAUUAGGGAAGAACAAAUGUGUAAGUAACUAUGCACGUCUUGACGGUACCUAAUCAGAAAGCCACGGCUAACUACGUG